UUUCUUUCUUUCUUUCUUUCUUUCUUUCUUUCUUUCUUUCUUUCUUUCUUUCUUUCUUUCUUUCUUUCUUUCUUUUUAUUUAUGGCAAACACAGAUGAGGCAACAAAAGCCAUAAAAGCUUCUGAGGCCUCUUUGUUUCUCCCCUUUGGAUCAUCUGUCACAGAGCCUGGCUGAGGUGGGAUGUGCUCACUCCAGGCACAGCCCAGGUGCUCUUUGCUGCUGUUGUCUGUGAAAUCUCUGAUUAUUAGCAAUAAAUCCUGGGCUUGGCCUGCAGGGAAGGAGAUUUUUGCCAGCCUGUGCUUUGCAGAUUUUGGCAUCCCCUUGCAGCAGGGGAGGGUGAGGGGUGUCCUGCCCCAGCAGUGGAUGCUUCUCCUUGUGCAGAAUCCAGGAGAAUUGACAUUGAACAUCGUGCCUGGCAUUAAAGGGACACUAACUGUGCUCCUGGAGGUCUCACCUGGGAACAGAAAGUUUAAAUUGGCUGGUAAGUAGUGAUUCAUUCUCAAAAAAAAAAAAACAAACCAUACUUUUCUUAAUUCAACCCUUGGAAUUUUUGGUUAAUAUCUGACUCUCUGGUCUGAUCCAUCUCCAAUUCAUCCUUUCUUGUCAAGCUAGUUUUAAUAAUUGUAACACCCUCAGCUGUUUUGUUUAGGUAAUAGAGAACAAUUCAGCCUGAAGAAAAUUAAUUUUCCUGUUUCACGUGGUUUUGGGUUCUUUUUCUUUUUCUUUUUUUUUUUUUUUUUGGGGGGGGGGGGGGGGGGGGGGUUUUUUUUCUUUUUCUUUUUUUUUUUUUUUUUUCUUGUAGUUUUCUAAUGAAUUCUAGAAAAUAGCAGUGAAAAUAGGGAAGUCUGAAGUAAACAUUGAUUUUUACAGUGCAAUAAUUUAUGGUACCAACUUAAUAAGCGGUGUGACAGCAGCAGCUCACCCCCCAUUUAUCAUGCAUUGAUAGUUUGAUUCCAGAACUUUUAACACCACUGCUCGCUGUGACAUAAUAAAGGACCUGCCAACAUUCCCAUUAGAACCACGAGAUUUUAGGAGUUCUGCUUCAGCUAUAAAUAUCAGGAUUUGGAAUCUAUGAAUUAUUUUGCAGAGUAACAACCUCGGAAUGACUUGUCCCAGCAACUGGGAAGAAAUAAGAGUUUUUUGAACUUCAGGGGGACAUCUCCCUGUGUUCAGAAGAAGAGGCUCGGGGUUGCUCAGGCUGUGUCCACCAUCACAAGUUUCCCAGCUCAGAGCUCAGAUAGUUCAGAAGAAGAGGCUCGGGGAUGCUCAGGCUGUGUCCACCAUCACAAGUUUCCCAGCUCAGAGCUCAGAUAAAUCACUUUAAUUCCACAGGCAGCAAGGAGGAGGCAGCA
This 1352-nucleotide long non-coding RNA is filed under the name Ficedula albicollis (Collared flycatcher). Its description in RNAcentral is "lncRNA (ENSFALG00000028189.1)". The record is from RNAcentral. Lineage: Eukaryota; Metazoa; Chordata; Aves; Passeriformes; Muscicapidae.